RNAcentral lists this transfer RNA (76 nucleotides) under bacterium. Its description in RNAcentral is "tRNA-Arg". It matches the Rfam family "tRNA". From Rfam's summary of the family: Transfer RNA (tRNA) molecules are approximately 80 nucleotides in length. The record is from RNAcentral.
GCCCCCGUAGCUCAGCGGACAGAGCAGUUGCCUUCUAAGCAAAGGGUCGGGAGUUCGAGUCUCUCCGGGGGCACCA